Aedes albopictus (Asian tiger mosquito) is the source of this 937-nucleotide long non-coding RNA. RefSeq lists it as uncharacterized. The transcript has 2 exons. Lineage: Eukaryota; Metazoa; Arthropoda; Insecta; Diptera; Culicidae. The record is from RefSeq and is a predicted model, not a curated record.
CAGUAAGGAACAGAAUACCGGACACAAUAAAUAACAGUUUGUGUAAUACAUGUCAAUCAGUGACACUAUAUUUUACUAUCCACGUAUUGUUGAAUUAUAUUGGAGAUGCAAAUUCCUACAAAACGGUAGCAAUAUAUCACCACCUUCUAUCAAAUGGUUAGCUACUCUCUUAGGACAGCACACUUACAUUUAUGCAUCUCACCAUACAUUACUUUUUCUGAACACUUUGACAUACAGUUAUACGGACUAGUAUUGAUGAGAGCCACCAAUAUUUGUUUUUCUUUGCAAAGUGUCAGACUGAUUAUGAAAAAAAAGUAAAAAACAAAUUUUACAACCGUAACCGGUGCCCUGUUGGCCAAUCCGGCUGAAUCGGGUACAUAUUUCACCAUAAUGGCACUUUCUCGGAUGCGGAAGCAAUCUAAAUACAACGCUGCCUUGACCUGGAAAAAAGUAGAAUCGAAGGUUCCAGGUCGCACAAAUUUGAAUAAACAUCUCGUUCCCUGCUGCCGCUCGAGGAAGACGCCAAACAAUUCCGGCCGAAGUAUGCGGAAUCGAUCCAGAGGAACUGGCAAUACAGCUCCGAGUAGGGAUCCAUGAAUGAGGUAACGGGUGAAGUGCAUAUCAGUACCGCAAAUUGAAAAACUGAUCGGAUCAAGAUGCAUCAGCCUGUCCAUACAUCUGGAUUCAUCAGCAACGGUUGGUUCUUGCGGAAGUCGGAGGUGCUUUUAAAUAUCACUAGAUUUAUUUUUAAUGACUGCAUUGCCGUGUGCAGCAUAGUUGUCCCAUGUUAAUAGGGAACAUGUGACUGCUAUGCUGCACACGGUAAUGCUAUAAGGUAAAAUAUCCAUCCAGUACAACACGCAUUAAUGGGAAGGGAGGGGUUCCACAUUUUACAGCUAUUGUACUUGCUUUAUGAAAUAUAUUUUUUCUAGGCGUA